CAACUUUCAGCAAUGGAUCUCUUGGCUCUCGCAUUGCGAUAUGUAAUGUGAAUUGCAGAUCUACAGUGAAUCAUCGAAUCUUUGAACGCACAUUGCGCUCCUCGGUGUUCCGAGGAGCAUGCCUGUUUGAGUGUCAGUA
Molecule: ribosomal RNA, 139 nt
Filed under: Chroogomphus ochraceus
Lineage: Eukaryota; Fungi; Basidiomycota; Agaricomycetes; Boletales; Gomphidiaceae
Description: 5.8S ribosomal RNA
Rfam family: 5.8S ribosomal RNA
About the family: 5.8S ribosomal RNA (5.8S rRNA) is a component of the large subunit of the eukaryotic ribosome.
Source: RNAcentral